GCUUAUAUAGUUUAAUAAAAAUAUUAAUUUGUGGUGUUAAUGAUAUUGUAAAAUUUUAAGUA
Molecule: transfer RNA, 62 nt
Filed under: Mecistocephalus marmoratus
Lineage: Eukaryota; Metazoa; Arthropoda; Chilopoda; Geophilomorpha; Mecistocephalidae
Description: tRNA-His
Source: RNAcentral